RNAcentral lists this ribosomal RNA (490 nucleotides) under uncultured bacterium. RNAcentral's name for it is "partial 16S ribosomal RNA". It matches the Rfam family "Bacterial small subunit ribosomal RNA", at positions 30 to 507 of the family's 1533-position model. The record is from RNAcentral.
AUUGAACGCUGGCGGCAUGCCUUACACAUGCAAGUCGAACGGCAGCAUGAUCUAGCUUGCUAGAUUGAUGGCGAGUGGCGCACGGGUGAGUAAUACAUCGGAACGUGCCCUGUAGUGGGGGAUAACUAGUCGAAAGAUUAGCUAAUACCGCAUACGACCUGAGGGUGAAAGUGGGGGACCGCAAGGCCUCAUGCUAUAGGAGCGGCCGAUGUCUGAUUAGCUAGUUGGUGAGGUAAAGGCUCACCAAGGCGACGAUCAGUAGCUGGUCUGAGAGGACGAUCAGCCACACUGGGACUGAGACACGGCCCAGACUCCUACGGGAGGCAGCAGUGGGGAAUUUUGGACAAAGGGCGAAAGCCUGAUCCAGCAAUGCCGCGUGUGUGAAGAAGGCCUUCGGGUUGUAAAGCACUUUUGUCCGGAAAGAAAUGGCUCUGGUUAAUACCUGGGGUCGAUGACGGUACCGGAAGAAUAAGGACCGGCUAACUACGUG